This 462-nucleotide ribosomal RNA is filed under the name Hynobius boulengeri. Its description in RNAcentral is "LSU rRNA". It matches the Rfam family "Bacterial large subunit ribosomal RNA", at positions 1984 to 2605 of the family's 2925-position model. The record is from RNAcentral. Lineage: Eukaryota; Metazoa; Chordata; Amphibia; Caudata; Hynobiidae.
AGACCAGUAUGAAUGGCAAGACGAAAGUUCAACUGUCUCCCUAAAUUAAUCAAUGAAAUUGAUUUUUCCGUGCAGAAGCGGAAAUAUAAUUAUAAGACGAGAAGACCCUAUGGAGCUUUAAACAUAUGAUCAACUGCAUAAUAUAAAAUUCAAAAGAUAAAAUAUUUAAUAAAACAGUAUGAUCAAAAUUUUAGGUUGGGGCGACCACGGAGAAAAACAAAACCUCCGAGAUGAAAAGAAUAUCUUAAUUCAAGAACUACAAUUCUAAAAAAUAAAAUAUUUAACAUAAUUGAUCCAAUAUAUUGAUCAACGAACCAAGUUACCCUAGGGAUAACAGCGCAAUCCUCUCCAAGAGUCCCUAUCGACGAGCGGGUUUACGACCUCGAUGUUGGAUCAGGACACCCCAAUGGUGCAGCCGCUAUUAAAGGUUCGUUUGUUCAACGAUUAAAGUCCUACGUGAUC